Molecule: unclassified non-coding RNA, 306 nt
Filed under: uncultured fungus
Lineage: Eukaryota; Fungi
Description: partial contains 5.8S ribosomal RNA and internal transcribed spacer 2
Rfam family: 5.8S ribosomal RNA (bases 1-133)
Source: RNAcentral
UGGUUCUCGCAUCGAUGAAGAACGCAGCGAAAUGCGAUAAGUAAUGUGAAUUGCAGAAUUCAGUGAAUCAUCGAAUCUUUGAACGCACAUUGCGCCCCCUGGUAUUCCGGAGGGCACGUCUGUCUGAACGUCAUGAACAAUCUCGAGCUUGCUCGGUGAUGGGUGCCGCCAGUUGGCAGUUCCUGCAAUCCAGUGGCGGAGGCCGUCGUGUGCCGACAUAGUGAACACUUCCUGUCGGUGUGCGAAGGGCAGCCUGCCGUAAGAAACUAUUGACUUGACUUCAGGUCAGACGAGGUUACCCGCUGA